AAGAGGACCAUCAGGGACUUUGUCACCUUGACAACUUUAGCCUUGCCUUCUAGUCACCUUGCCGGAACACUUGUGCCCGUGUUUUUCUAGCACUGUCAUAAGAAUACUUUUACCUAUCAAGGCAACUGGGGGUUAGGAGAGCUUUUUGCACAGGAGGCUACUUGGCUUUGUUUGAAAACUGAUGAUACAUGAGGAUUGGGGUGGUGAAUCACUCACAUGUUUCUUCAUAUGAAAAAUGAGGACUGUGGGAUUCUCUGGCUGGAUCUCAGCACCUAGAAAUGGAUCUGGGCAAUAGGAACUGCUCAGUAUUAGCUACCGCUUUGGUUGCCUUCUCCUUGCGGAAAGCUGGCCUCUCACACUGAAUUUGUAUCAUAGGCACUCAUGAGGGUCUUGACUGUAUCAAUAUCUGAUGAGAGAUUUUAGUGCAGUUCUGUUAUCGUGGCUGAUUUGCUCAUUUGGUAGCUAGCAUCCAGCUUCUUGUGAACAUUAAAAUAAAAUAAAAUAGAUUAUGGAGGAAUAGAAUACAGAUACGUAGUAAGGUAUUAUUUUCCAGACAAAAUGGAUUUGGAUAAAAGAAUCUAAUUAAGAACUUGUGCAUGAUUCUUUUAAAAUUCUUUUGAAUCCAUUUUUUUUUUUUUGGCCUGUUUUCAAGUCUCCGAUUUUUGUCACCCUUCUCACACCAGGUCAGAGAGAUAGCUAAUGGUCAGAAGGAAUCUUCCAGCAAUGACCAUAGCGCUUUCUCCUGCCUGCAGAUGCCUCUUUUUAUUCAGCCUUUAUGGGAAGUAGCAGCACCAUCCAGUUCUCAGAGAGCAAGCUCUGGAGUAACUGAGCUAACCCCAGUUACCCCAGUGGAUUUACAGAUUGAGGUUACAACCCAGCAGGGUUCUCUUCCUGGAAAGAAUAGCCUUCCCUCUAAGGUUUCAAAUAGACCCUGGGUGAGGAAGGAGCCCUAAACAGCUUGAAAAAUUGAAUGCUCUUUGGGCAAAGCAGGAAGCCGUCCUAUGGAAGAGCAUCAUUUGAGCAUAAAUCAGGUUAUCAGGACAAACAGAGUGUUCAGGAGGUCAAGAUGGUUAAGCAGAGACCCUGACCAGAAUGUCCGUGGCGGAGAGAAACAAUCUUGUUGGGAAAAGGAUGACAAUAAUUGGGGACUUAGAAUAAAGGCUAAAAAUGAUUCAAAGAGAAUGCAAAAAGAAUCAGGCACAAAUCGUUUACUAUACUCUGUUAUGCAAAUCUCACCUUACUAUGUGUUUGUAUUCUAUUCCUCCACAAUCUUUAUUUUAUUUUAAUGUUCAAAGAGACUUGUAGGUGCCAAUUAAAUGAACAAAACAGCCAGAGACAACAGAACUGCCCUAAAAAAAGUCCCGCAUCAGCUCUUGAGAGCAGGUUCCUUAAAGGUGAACAAUAUUCCACAUACAAGGACUUUUUCAGCACCAUGCAUUAGAAAUGGAAGUGAAUGUUUAUUAUUUUUUGUAUAAGUUGGUUGAUAUGGCUUUUCAGCUUCCCUCAGUAUCAUUAUCCAAAUUUUGUAGAUGACACUAAAGCUCAGAGGAGUUAAACCAUUUUCCUUAAAUCACAUAGCUUUAAAUAGGAAAACCAGAUAUGAAAAGCAGAUUUUUUUUCUAAAUUAAAAAACCAAAAACAAAAACACGUGAGCUCUUGCUUUACCCUAGCACAUAGUCUUGCCAUCUGUUUUCUCCACACCAGGUGAUUCCUGUAACAUUCAUUCACAUAACAAAUACAAAUAAAUGAGUGGAUUCAUUCAUCAGAUAUUAAUUCAGAAUCCCUUUUGUGCCUUCCAGAAAUCUGGACCAUCUCACAACCCCCAGAGAGUCUCAGCUACAAGGAACAAGUGAUAAUGCCAUCCCACUUUUAUAAACACACACACACACACAUGCAAUACACACACAAUCAUUUAAUCAUUUUUAAUUAUUUAAUUAUUUUUUAAAAAUCAGUGACACUUUAGCUGGGCAGGUCUAGAUAGGUCUUCUUUGCUGGGACGUGUCUUUUUCUGUCCUGGAAUACCCUAAACUUCACAUUUUGGCAGCGUGAGUUUUCCCUUUGUGACUUUCUCCUUCUUCCCUUUUUUCCUCCUUCUUUGCAGAGAAUGAGUAGCCACUGCACCUUGCCCUGCGCCAUCAAUGAGAAGAUCUGCUCUUAGUAGAGCCCUGCUUUCCCGCUGAAGGCCCUGAAAUCACCUGUGUUCCAGGCCACCCACUAAGGAUAAACAAAGCUUCCCUGAUAUGGGGAAUUAGCUCAAGUGGUAGAGCGCUUGCUUAGCAUGCAAGAGGUAGUGGGAUCAAUGCCCACAUUCUCCAAGCUUUAUUAUUUAGGUACCCAAACCCGAGUCAGUGUCUGAGAGCAAGACACUGCUCUCGGUGUCUUUGGUUCAAGACAUAGGAGCAGCAACAAUACAGGACUGGUGACAGCUUCCUGCUGGCAUUCAGUAUAGUGUAGAUCUACUGUGUAAUUAAUUUUCUGUUUCUUCGAGGAGCUGUGAAACCAAAGGACAUAUAAAACUGCUCUUUUCUCCCUGUUUCUGCCUGCAGCUUGGUCCUAAAUGUGAGACAAUUGUGAAAAGUGGAGGACAGAGCCACCUGGUUAAAUACAGCCCCAGCUUUCUGGUGAGAGGACUGAAACCAAGAUGUGUCAAGUAACUAGAAUGUGCCUGGACAGAUACUGUAGAAAGCAAAACCAUAAAGUUGUUCAUGAGCUUGUGGACGCACCUGCCAGCUGUGAAUAAGUGGCUCUAAUCCCGAACAACUUACCUAAAAAGAGCCUGAGAGCUGAACUGUGCAAUGGCCCACUUUCCAGUCCUCACUGACCACUGGGUUGCACACACUUUGGAGAUCUCUGAACAGCAGUGUCAAGGCUUUCAAAUAGAGUUAUCUUUGAAACGACAACACAUGAAAGUCUGGUUGGUACUUGGAGCUUAAAUACAAGGCAAUUGUGUGCCUGCAAAAACAAAAAUAGCAAUAUUAUCCUUAAGAUUUCAACAAGACACAGUGUCUCAUCACAUAAUCCAAAGAAGUCCAGGUUACAAGCCCCACAAUAUUCAGCAUUAUGAAAAAACAGGGAGAUCUUAAUUCACAUGGCAAAGAGAAUCCUCGAAUAACAAUAUUGAGAGGACACAGAUGUCAAAAUCAUCUGACACAUACAUUAAAGCAGAUAUUAUAACAAUGCUCCUAGAAUCGGGGAUAACAUUCGUGAAGUGAAUGGAAAGUUGGAAAGUCUCACCAAAUAUUUCGAAUACAUAAACACCAAUUUAAACUUAAGAAUUAAAAAAAUGUAUUAACCAAAACUCUUAGGGGAAAUAAAAAGCUUAAUUGGAGGAUCUCCAUAAUCGAAUGCAGAAGACUAAGGAAAAAGUCAAUGAACUUGAAAACAGAACACGAAUACCUACAUAAUCUGAACUAUAGAGAGAAAGGAGGAUUUUAUUGUCUCUGAACAGAGGCUCAGGCACAAAUAAAAAAUAACAAAUCCAACAUUCACAUUAUUGUAAUCUGGAAAGAAGAGGACAAAGUGGUCUUUGUGGGAUAAAACUUUGAACAAUUAAUAGCUGAAAAUGGUUCAAAUUUGUCAAAAGAUAUAAACCAGAUUUUUAAAGUUCAGUAAAUGUCAAUCAGGAUAAACCCAAAGAAACCCAUAGCAAGGCAUAUCAUAAUCAAACUGCUGAAAACUAAGAAAAUACAAAACAAUUUUGAAAGCAGCCAAAGGGAAAUGAAAGAGAAACUACCAAAUGAAUGAUUGUAGAUUUCGCAUCAGGAACCAUAGGGGCCAGAAAAAAUGUCAUAACAUUCGGUAAGUAACAAAAGAAAAAGACAUAUCGACCCAGAAUGCUAUGUGGAGCAAAAGUAUCUUCCAGACAUAAAGGCAAAUAAAUGCAUUCUCAGUGGAAGGUAAGUAAAUACAUUCUCAUUCUUAGGAAGACUGCUGGAAAAGAAUUAGCAAAGAUUUGAGAUAAGAAAAAUGAUACCAGAAGGAAACUUAGAACAUCAUCAGUGAAGGAACAAAAGCAGAAAUAGAACAUGUCUGGGUAGACAUAACAGACUAUUAUUCUUCCCUUGAGUUCCUUAAGGAGACUACGGAAAAGAAGAGUGACUAAGAUCUCUGAAGAAGGGAAAAGCUAGAUGACUGGGCCACAAGAGGAAAAAAAGCAGCAAGACAGGUACAAUUGUUUCUGGUCCCUCAAGCCAGAAGGUCCUAUCAUUAUGUGAAUACUGGAAACGGGUGGACUCCACCUGUCCUGAGUGGGGAAUUCUUCCAGUGCAGCACUGGCUGAUAAGCAGUGAUUUCCAAGUAGCAUUGAUUGUGUUCUUUAAAAGCUAGGAAUUGAUAAAGCAGCAGUGUGUGGGAAAUGAGAUUUAAUAAUCUGGAUCUCAGCUCUUAGGAACAGUUGCUCUCUUAGAGCAGCAGGCCACCUGUCAAUCUCGUAUUCUGAAGGUCCUGAGUUUGAACAUCAGACAAGGUACAGCUUUUGCCGCUCUUUCCGUUAAGGGAAAUGAAAUAGGUGUGAUAAAUAAUGUAACACAAAUGCUAUGAGAUAAUGAUUUCAAGACAGUCCAAAUAUUAGCUUAAAAUUUAAAAAUGAGCUUUUCUUUUUUCUUUCUUUCUUUCUUUCUUUCUUUCUUUCUUUCUUUCUUUCUUUCUUCCUUUCUUCUUUCUUUCUUUCUUUCUUUCUUUCUUUCUUUCUUUCUUUCUUUUUCUCUUUUUCCUUCUUUUGGCUUCUUAGUGGUUUGAAUACAAGGCGUGGUGAAGAGAUAUAAAUUACACAAGAAACUACAAGCUAUGUCAUAUGUCUACCUCUCUAGCUGACAAGGGAAGCAGGGGAAAUUUCUCUUCCAAUUGUCUGCUCUGAAGGUCAUCCAAACAUAAUUAUCAGGUGGGGUGGGUGAACUCUUUUAUUCUUUUAAUCAUCCAACAAAUAUUUCUCAAGCGCAUACCUUGUUAAGAGACUGUUUUGGGUACAGUAAUUCACAGUGAAUAAAACACAGAUAUUCUCACCUUUGUGAUACUACGUCAUAGUUGCAAGGAGUGGGGAGAAACAGACAGGAAGCAAAGAAGAAAAAUAAACAAGAAGUCAUGUGAUAAUAUCUACUGGGAGGGACUCAUUAGGCAGUAAAGGACUCGGCAGUGUGGAGGUGACACAUUCAGUUUUCAGUAGAAGAAUCAGGGAAGUUGUCACUUUGAAGCUAUCAUUUAGCUUCCCUUUCUUUCAAUCUUCUUUCUUUACAUGGGAAAUAAGGAUUGUGGGAUAUUUUUGGGUGGAUCACAGCACCUAGAGAUGGACCUGAUCAAUAAGAACUGCUCAGUAAGCAUUAGCUACUGCUUCGGUUGCCUUCCCCCUGUGGAGUGCUGGCCUCUUGGAUUGAGCUUGCAUCAUAGGUGUUCAGUAGGAGCUUGCUUAGUGGAUUUAUAGGUUGAGGUUAGAACCCACUGGAAUUCUCUUCCUGGAAAGAACAGGCUUCUCUUUAAGGUUUCAUACAGACCCUGGUUGAGGAAAGAGCCCUAAAUUGCUUGAAAAAUUGAAUGCUCUAUGGGCAAAGCAGGAAGCCCUCCUAUGGAAGGGCAUCAUUUGGGCAUAUAUCAGGGUCUCAGUAAAAACAUGAGUGCUCAGGAAGUCAAGAUGGUUAAGCAGAGAAUCUGACCAGAAUGUUCAUGGUGCGAAGAAAUAAUCUUGUUGGGUGUAGGAUUACAACAACUGGGAAAUUAGAAUACAGGCUAAAUGAGAUUCAAAAAUAAUACAACAAGAAUCAGGCACAAAUCCUUUACUACUACAUUCUUUUGUACAAAUCCAUUUUGCCUAGAAAAUCGUACCUUACUAUACAUCCCUAUUGUGUUUCUCCACCAUCUAUUUUACUUUUUAAACUUUAUUUCAUUUUUGUCAUCACAGAAGCUUGUUGCUACAAAAUAAAUGAGCAAAUCAGCCAAUGGCAACAAAGCUGCACUGAUCUCUCUCCUUAGACCUUCAGAACAUUUUCCUUAAAGGUGAACAAUACUCCACGUUCAAGGACUUUUUCAGCACUAUGUGCUAGAAACUAUGCUGACUGUUUAUUAAUUUUUAUGUAAGUUGGUCGAUAUAGUUUCUCAGCUUCCCCAAGUAUUAUUACCACAGUACUAUAGAUGACACUGAAGCUCAGAGCAGUUAAACCAUUUUCCUCAGAUCACAUAACUUUAAAGAGGGAAACCAGAUAUGGGAAGCAGAUUUCUUUCUAAAUGAAAAAAUCAUGAGCUCUUGCUUUCACUUAGCACAUAGUCUCAUCAUCUGUUUUCUUCACACCAGCUCACUCAUGUAACAUUCAUUCAUUUACCAAAUACAGAUAAAUGAGUGGAUUUAUUCUUGCUUUCAUCAGAUACUAAUUCAAAAUCGCUUCUGUGUCUGCUACACUGUGCUCAAGACUUGCCAGUGCCUUUGUCUCCUCUCCCUCAAAUCUCUCCACCCAAUGUCUUGACAAAUACUGUAGAUUCUUCCUGCAUAACCUCUCCAGAAUCUUUUCCUUCUGUUAUCCAUGCUACAGUGUUUAUGGAGGAUGUUUUCUUCACCUAUGAAGUGUGAUGGGGGCUGAAGCUGCAGCAAGACUCAUGCUGUUCACCUCAGGAGCUGACACAGUAAAUGUGGAUAAACCUCAAUCCUUUAAUAUCUUUAUGACUUCUUUCCCAGUUACCCCAGCGAAUUUACAGAUUGAGGUUAAAACCACAACAGGAUUAUCUUCCUGGAAAGAAUAGGCUUCCCUUUAAGGUUUCACAUAGAUACUGGGUGAGGAAGGAGCCCUAAAUUGCUUGAAAAAUUGAAUGCUCUUUGGGCAAAGCAGGAAGCCUUGCUAUGGAAGAGCAUCAUUUGAACAUAAAUCAGAGUCUCAGUACAAACAGAGUGCUCAGGACAUCAAGAUGGUUAACCAGAGAGCCUGGCCAGAAUAUCUGCGGUGGAGAGAAACGAUCUUGUUGGGAGAAGGAUGACAAUAAUUGGGGACUUAGAAUAAAGGCUAAAAAUGAUUCAAAGAGAAUGCAAAAAGAAUCAGGCACACAUCCUUUACUCUGUUGUGCAAAUCUCACCUUACUGUGUGUUUGUAUUCUAUUCCUCCACAAUCUUUAUUUUAUUUUAUUUUUAUGUUCACAGAGAUUUGUUGGUGCCAACUAAAUGAGCCCAACAGCCAGUGACAACAGAACUGCACUAAAAAAAGUCCCUCAUCAGCUCUUGAGAGCAGGUUCCUUAAAGGUGAACAAUAUUCCACAUACAAGGACUUUUUCAGCACCAUGCAUUAGAAAUGGAAGUGAAUGUUUAUUAUUUUUUGUAUAAGUUGGUUGAUACGGCUUUUCAGCUUCCCUCAGUAUCAUUAUCCAAAUUUUGUAGAUGACACUAAAGCUCAGAGGAGUUAAACCAUUUUCCUCAAAUCACAUAGUUUUAAAUAGGAAAACCAGAUAUGAAAAGCAGAUUUUUUUCUAAAUUAAAAAAAAAAAAAAAACUUGAGCUCUUGCUUUACCCUAGCACAUAGUCUCACCAUCUGUUUUCUCCAUGCCAGGUCAUUCAUGUAACAUUCAUUCACAUAACAAAUACAAAUAAAUGAGUGGAUUCAUUCAUCAGCUAUUAAUUCAGAAUCUCUUUUGUGUCUACCACACUAGGCUCAAGACUUCCCAGUGUCUUUGUCUCCUCUCCCUCAAAUCUCUCCACCCAAUGUCUUGACAAAUACUGUAGAUCCUUCCUGCACAGCAUCACCAGAAUGUUUUUCUUUCUUUUCAUUCACCUCUGUCAUCAUCCAUGCUAUGGUGUUUAUGGAGGAUGUAUUCUGCAGCAGGAAGUGUGAUGGGCACUGACGCUGCAGAAAGACUCCUGUUGUCCACCUCGGGAGCUGACACGAUAAAUGCGGGUAAAUCUCAAUCCUUUAAUAUCUUUAUGACUUCUUUCUCUUUCUCUUCAAUUUCUAUUUUCUCAUGUUCAAGCUCUGACAUUCAAAACUAAACACCUUUCUCUAACAUGUUGCUUUAAUUAUUUAAGCAUUCUGCCUGGGAUUUUUUCAAUUACUCUUGGGAGUUUUCAUAAAACUCUACCAACAUAUCUCCAAGUGGCCAGGCUUUUCAAUCACUGCUUCCCUCCGUGUGUAUUUCACACACACACACACACACACACACACACACAGCACUUAAAUUGAACAGGUUUAUUUCUUCACACAGGAAUUCCUACGAACAGCCCGGUUUUCUCCACCAUAUGUCCACUCCUUCUCUGCAUAGCUGAAUUUUGAUUCUUACACUCUAAUAUUUUACAUAUUCUUACACUCUGAUAUGAUCUUGUCUCUUAUUCUUUAUGGCUCUGCUCUGUAAUUUUGUUGUUGUUGUUCUGAGAUAUAGUUGGACAUGUAACUUGUACAUGACACACCUUAGCAAGGAGGCAACCUAUAUCUCAGAUGCAAGUGAAAGAAGCACUCCCCAGGGGUUUCCUAAGGUAGUGGUCAGCACGCUGGCUUCAUUCCUGAAAGGGCCUAGUUAUGAAAACAACAGGAGCUUUUUGCCUUCCAGAAAUCUGUACCAUCUCAAAAUCCCCAGAGAGUCUCAGCUACAAGGAACAAGUGAUAAUACUAUCUCACUUUUAUAAACACACACACACAACACACACACACAAAAUCAUUUAAUCAUUUUUAAUUAUUUAAUCAUUUUUUAAAAAUCAGUGACACUUUAGAUGGGCAGGUCUAGGCAGGGCCUCCUUUCCUGGAAUGUGCCUUUUUCUGUCCCGGAAUACCCUAAACUUGACAUUUUGGCAGUGUGAGUUUUCCCUUUUUGACUUUCUCCUUGUUCCCUUUCCUCUUCCUUCUUUGCAGAGAAUGAGUAGCCACUGCACCUUGCCCUGGGCCAUCAGUGAGAAGAUCUGCUCUUAGUAGAGCCCUGCUUUCCCGCUGAAGGCCCUGAAAUCCCCUGUGUUCCAGGCCACCCACUAAGGAUCAAUAAAGCUCCCCUGAUGUGGGGGAAUUAGCUCAAGUGGUAGAGCGCUUGCUUAGCAUGCAAGAGGUAGUGGGAUCGAUGCCCACAUUCUCCAAACUUUAUUAUUUAGACCCUGGGUCUCCAAACACUCAGGUCUCCAAACCCAAGUCAGAGAACAGGAUGCUGCUUUGGUUCAAGAUGUAGGAGCAGCAACAAUACAGGGCUGGUGACGGCUCCCUCCUGGCAUUCAGUAUAGUGUAGAUCUACCGUGUAAUUAAUUUUCUGCUUCUUUGAGGAGCUGUGAAACCAAGGGACAUAAACAAUUGCUCUUUUCUCCCUGUUUCUGCCUGUAGCUUGAAUGUGAGGCAACUGUGAAAAGUGCAGGGCAGAGCCACCUGGGUAAAUACAGCCCUGGCUUUCUGGUGAGAGGACUGAAACCAGGAUGUGUCAAGUAACUAGAAUGUGCCUGGACAGAUACUGUAGAAAGCAAACCCAUAAAGUUGUUCAUGAGCUUGUGGACGCACCUGCCAGCUGUGAAUAAGUGGGUCUAAUCCCAAACAACUUACCUAAAAAGAGCCUGAGGACUGAACUAAACAAUGGUCCACUUUCCAGUCCUCACUGACCACUGGUUGCACACACUCCAGAGAUCUCUCAUCCGCAGUGUCAAGGCUUUCAAAUAGAGUUAUCUGUGAAACAACAACACAUGGAAGUCUGGUUGGUACUUGGAGCUUAAAUACAAGGCAAUUGUGUGCCUGCAAAAACAAAAAGAGCAAUAUUAUCCUUAAGAUUUCAACAAGACACAGUGUCUCAUCACAUAAUCCAAAGAAGUCCAGGUUACAAGCCCCAAAAUAUUCAGCAUUAUGAAAAACCAGGGAGAUCUUAAUUCACAUGGCAAAGAGAAUCCUUGCAUAACAAUAUUGAGAGGACACAUAUGUCAAAAUCAUCUGACACAUACAUUAAAGCAGUUAUUAUAACAAUGCUCCUAGAAUUACGGGAUAGCAUUCAUGAAGUGAAUGGAAAGUUGGAAAGUCUCACCAAAUAUUUGGAAUAUGUAAACACCAAUUUAAACUUAAGAAUUAAAAAAAGUAUUAACCAAAACUAUUAGGGGAAAUAAAAAGCUUAAUUGGAUGAUCUCAAUAGCAGUAUGCAGAAGACUAAGGAAAAAGUCAAUGAACUUGAAAACGGAACAAGAAUACCUACAGAAUCUGACCUAUAGAAAGAAAGGAGGAUUUUAUUGUCCCUGAACAGAGGCUCAGGGACAAAUAAAAAAUAACAAAUCUAACAUUCACAUUAUUGUAAUCUGGAAACAUUCACAUUAUUGUAAGAGGACAAAGAGGUCUUUGUGGGAUAAAACUGUGAAGAAUUAAUGGCUGAAAAUGUAUCAAAUUUCUCAAAAGAUAUAAACCAGAUUUUUAAAGUUCAGUAAAUGUCAAGCAGGAUAAACCAAAAGAAACCCAUUGCAAGACAUAUCAUAAUCAAACUGCGGAAAAUUAAGAAAACACAAAACAAUUUUGAAAGCAGCCAAAGGGAAAUGAAAGAUAAAAUACCAAAUGAAUGAUUGUAGAUUUCUCAUCGGGAACCCAGGAGCCAGAAAAAAAUGUCAUAACAUUCAGUAAAUACCAAAGGAAAAAUACAUUAUCAACCCAGAAUGGUAUGUGGAGCAAAAGUAUCUUCCAGACAUAAAGGCAAAUAAAUGCAUUCUCAUUGGAAGGUAAAUAAAUACAUUCUCAGUCCUAGCAAAACUGCUGGAAAAGAAUUAGCAAAGGUUUGAGAUAAGAAAAGUGAUACCAGAAGGAAACUUAGAACAUCAUCAAUGAAGGAACAAAAGCAGAAAUAGAAAAUGUCUGGGUAGACAUAACAGACUAUUAUUCUUCUCUUGAGUUCCUUAAGGUAUGUUUGAUGGUUGAAAGCAAAAAUUGUAACUUUAUCUGAUGCAGUUGUCAUUGUAUCUAGAUGUACUACAUACAUAAGAUAAAAGGGUAAAUGUAAUGGGACUAACUCUUGAUGAAGUUUCUAUAUUCAACUUGAAUGGUAAAAUAUUGAUUCUUAGUAUACUGUGAAAAGUUAUAUAUGUAUAUGGUAAUCCCUAGACCACUUAACAACCAGAUUGAAAUAAACCAAAACAAGAUAGACAGAGGAACAUAGAAGAAUUAAAACAAAGGGAAAAAAGGUUAAUAAAUUAUUAAAUAGUAGAUCUAUCUAAAAACUUAUCUAUAAUAACAUUAUAUGUAAAUUAUCUAAAUGCAUUAAGUAAAAACUAGAGAUCAUCAGAAUGUGUUAAAAAUAAAUAUGCUGACUAAAGAAAGCCACCUGCAAUACACUUAUAAAUAAGAAUAAAAGUUAUAGAGCAGAUUGAAAGAAAAGAGUGGGAAAAGAUACCUCAUGCAAGCAUUAAUCAAAGACAGCUGUGGUGUAUAUAUAUAAAAUCAGACAAAGUAGAUUUGAAAGCAGAGAAACUUUUCAGGAAUAAUGAGGCCUCCUAAAUAAUUAUGAUUGUCAAUUUUUCAGGAGAAUAUUGUCCCAAAUGUAUAUGAGGACACAGAGCUUCAAAACUCAUAAACAAAAUUGGAUACGCCAAGUAAAAAUAGAAAAAUCCAGUUAUAGUUGCAGUCAUUAACACUCCUCUCUGAGUAAUUGGAAGAUUUAGUGGAACACAAAUCAACAGACAUACUGGAGAAUUGAACCAUGCCAUCCAGUAAUGGACCUAUCAAUUUCAUAAUGCAAAAUAAAAAUUCAGGUAGAAAGCAAAGACAAAAAUUAAAAGAAAAGCAAGAUCAUGUUAUAAUGAGAAAAUUAAGAGUAGUCCAGUGUAUAGAAGGGUGCUAUUAUUGAAAGAGUUUGAAAUAGUGACUUAGUUAUUUUGAAACAUUUUUGAAGACGUUAUUUAGCUGGAAAUGACAGAAAGACUGAAAAUGGUGAAUGUGGAGGUGGAUCUUCCCUUGUCCAUAUUUAUCUUGUCUUCGUUUGAGGUCUGGGGUGUCUAUACUUCCUCUGAAUUACCUGAUCUUACUACAGUGUCUGGCACAGAGCAUCUCCCCAGUGAAUAUGUACUAAAUGAGUAGAAAGUAAUUGAUAGAUUCAAAAGAGUUGUGCAAGAAUAAUGUUCAUUAUUUGACUAAUCACUGAAUGUGGUGUUUCAAGGAAGACAAUGAAUCAAAGUUGACUUGAAAGGUAAGCCCAGGGCCAGACGUGGUGGCUCAUUUCUGUAAUCCCAGCACUUUGGGAGGCCGAGAUCAGUGGAUCCCUUGACACCAGGAGUUUGAGACCAGCCUAGGCAACACAGUGAAAACCUGUCUCUACAACAAAUACAAAAAUUAGCCGGGUGUGGUGGUAUGCAUCUGUAGUUCCAGCUACUCAGGAGGCUGAGGUGGGAGGAUCGCUUGAACUCAGGAGGUGGAGGUUGCAGUGAACAGAGAACGCACCGGUACCUGGACAACAAAGUGAGACCCUGUCAUAAAAUAAAAUAGUUAAACCCAGGCCAGGAGGGGUGGCUCAUGCCUGUAAUCCCAGCACUUUGGAAGGCCAAGGUAGGCUGAUCACGUGACGUCAGGAGGUUGAGACCAGCCUGGCCAACAUGGUGAAACCCCGUCUCUACUAAAAAUACAAAAAUUAACCAAGCGUGGUGGCAGGCACCUGUAGUCCCAGCUACUCUGGAGGCUGAGACAGGAGAAUUACUAGAACCCGGGAGGCAGAGGUUGCAGUGAGCCAAGAUCUUACCAUUGCACUGCAGCCUGGGCGACAGAGUGACACUCUGUCGAAAAAAAAAAAAAAAAAAAAGUUAAGCCCAAAAAGUAAGUAAGGAAGAGGUUUGGAAUUAGAUAUUUGUUGUAUGAAUGAGUGAGCUAAAGUGCAAAAGAACGGGCAGAAUAACUGAGCUGGUACAGAGGGAAAAAAUCACAUUUAAAAUCUAAAAAUAUCUGCUUCUUAGUUCAGGCUUUCCCACUUAGCAGCUUUGGCACCUUAGGAACACUUAACUUAUCUGAGCCUCUAUUACUUCUAAAAAGUGCAUAAAGUGCAGACUAAGACAGUUUUUUUGGCAAAAUUCAGUCAGACUACAUCAAGUAAACUCCCUAAGUCUCCUAGUAUAAUUCAUGGCACAAAAAAUUGGGGAAAAAACAGGGAGGAUAUGAUUAUAAGUUCAGUUUAUGUUUUUUGUUGAGUGAAUGUCUCCAGUCAUAGAGAUGCAAGUGUAGAUACACAGUAAGAGUAGUAUGAAUGGGAGACACCUUGGAAGGCUAUUUCUUCCUUCCUUCAUUCAGUUGGUCACUCAGUGAACUAUCAUGAAUUGAGCACCGCCUCUGUUUCUUAUCAACAAAGGAGACUGCGGAAAAGAAGAGUGACUAAGAUCUCUGAAGAAGGGAAAAGCUAGAUGACUGGGCCACAAGAGGAAAAAAAGCAGCAAGACAGUUACAAUUGUUUCUGGUCCCACUUUUAUAAACACACACACACACACACACACACACACACACACACACAAAAUCAUUUAAUCAUUUUUAAGUAUUUAAUCAUUUUUUAAAAAUCUGUGAUGCUUUACCUGGGCAUGUCUAGGCAGGUCCUCCUUUGCUAGGACGUGCCCUUUUCUGUCCCGGAAUACUCUAAACUUGGCAUUUUGGCAGCGUGAAGUUUUCCCGUUGUGACUUUCUCCUUGUUCCCUUUUCUCCUCCUUCUUUGCAGACAAUGAGUAGCCACUGCUGUUUGCCCUGGCCCAUCAAUGAGAAGAUCUGCUCUUAGAGCCCUGCUUUCCUGCUGAAGGCCCUGAAAUCACCUGUGUUCCAGGCCACCUGCUAACAAUAAAUAAUGCUGCCCUGAUGUGGGGAAUUAGCUCAAGUGGUAGAGCGCUUGCUUAGCACGCAAGAGGUAGUGGGAUCGAUGCCCACAUUCUCCAAGCUUUAUUAUUUAGACAUCGUGUCUCCAAACACUCAGGUCUCCAAACCCAAGUUAGUGUCUGAGAACAGGAUGCUGCUUUGGUUCAAGACGUAGGAGCAGCAAUAAUAGAGGGCUGGUGAUGGCUCCCUCUUGGCAUUCAGUAUAGUGUAGAUCUACCAUGUAAUUAAUUCUCUGUUUCUUUGAGGAGCUGUGAAACCAAGGGACAUAUACAACUGCUCUUUUCUCCCUGUUUCUACCUGCAGCUUUGUCCUAAAUGUGAGACAAUUAUGAAAAGUGCAGCGCAGAGCCACUUGGGUAAAUACAGCCCCGGCUUUCUGCUCAGGGGACAGAGUUUGAGGCACUGCAGAGGAACCGGCCAAAGUAUGAGACCCAUAUAUUGAGAGUAACAGAGUGUAAAGUUCAAAAAAAUCAAAAUAUUUAAAGAUUUAUCAUGGGUCUUGAUGACAUGAUGGAAUCUCUCUACUCUCUGGACUUAUUAUGUGUGGUAAUAAAUUUACUUUUUAAAAGCCA
Molecule: long non-coding RNA, 14304 nt
Organism: Homo sapiens (human)
Lineage: Eukaryota; Metazoa; Chordata; Mammalia; Primates; Hominidae
Exons: 2
Source: RefSeq, a predicted model, not a curated record